RNAcentral lists this ribosomal RNA (932 nucleotides) under Phaeographis sp. Kalb 36885. Its description in RNAcentral is "eukaryotic LSU rRNA". It matches the Rfam family "Eukaryotic large subunit ribosomal RNA", at positions 145 to 1040 of the family's 3401-position model. Lineage: Eukaryota; Fungi; Ascomycota; Lecanoromycetes; Ostropales; Graphidaceae. The record is from RNAcentral.
GUAAUUUGGAGAAGGUGCUUCGGGUGUGACGGCGGCUCAAGUUCCUUGGAACAGGACGUCAUAGAGGGUGAGAAUCCCGUAUGUGGCCGAUCGUCUAUCCCAUGUGAAGCCCUUUCGACGAGUCGAGUUGUUUGGGAAUGCAGCUCUAAAUGGGUGGUAAAUUUCAUCUAAAGCUAAAUACCUGCCAGAGACCGAUAGCGCACAAGUAGAGUGAUCGAAAGAUGAAAAGCACUUUGAAAAGAGAGUCAAACAGUACGUGAAAUUGUUGAAAGGGAAGCGCUUGCAACCAGACUCGUACGUGGGGGCUCAGCCGUUUUUCGGGACGGUCUAUUCCCCCGCGGUCGGGCCAGCAUCGGUUUCGGCGGUUGGACAAAGACCUUGGGAACGUAGCUCUCUCCGGGGAGUGUUAUAGCCCGGGGUGCAAUGCAGCCUGCCGGGACCGAGGACCGCGCUUUUGCUAGGAUGCUGGCGUAAUGGUUGCCAGCGACCCGUCUUGAAACACGGACCGAGGAGUCGACCAAUCGCGCGAGUGUUUGGGUGUAAAACCCAUGCGCGCAAUGAAAGUGAACGUAGGUGGGAGCCUCCGGGCGCACCAUCGACCGAUCUUGAUGUUUUCGGAUGGAUUUGAGUACGAGCACGAUCGGUCGGACCCGAAAGGUAAGAAAAAAACCCCUUAUAUUUUCGUUGGAUGCUCUUGCUAACUAACUUUCAACAGAUGGUGAACUAUGCGUGAAUAGGGUGAAGCCAGAGGAAACUCUGGUGGAGGCUCGCAGCGGUUCUGACGUGCAAAUCGAUCGUCAAAUUUGCGCAUAGGGGCGAAAGACUAAUCGAACCGUCUAGUAGCUGGUUCCUGUCGAAGUUUCCCUCAGGAUAGCAGCAACGAAAAACAGUCUCAUGAGGUAGAGCGAACGAUUAGAGGCCUUGGGGUCAAA